AAAAGAAGGCCGACAAAGACAGGAAAAAUGAUUUAUCUUUAUGGCAUUAUAGCCUAUGUGUGAUUAAAGCUUUGAUUGAAUGGUAUAUUUAGCGCAUCUUUUAUCAAUGAAAAAUUUGUUAUUCCGAGUUACACUAUGAAAUAGCCAAUCAAGUAAACUUGCAUUUUUCUACAAUUACUCUAGUUACUAUUCAAACAAAAGAAAUCUUAUCCACGUUAUUGAGCUAGGUUUUAGUGGGUAUAACUUUUUUCUGUUUUUUUUUUCUUUUUCUCACUUUUUUAUUUUCUUCCAUUUUCACCUUAUUUAUUUUUCCCAUUUAUUCCAAAAGUUGCCAGUCGCACUCUUAGUAAAACUUUAAUGGGAUUUUACUAUUUCACUUUCAACUGAAGCCAUAGAAAAUGGUAUUUAGUAUUUACAAAUGGAACGUUCACGCGUUAACUAUAUGGACCAACUUCUCUUUAAUUGACAAAAAAAAUGGGCAUAUCUCUUGCAUAUUGUUUUGGCUCUAGCCGAUUAUUUUAAUAUGUGGAUCCAUGCCCUACAACAACAUAACAUUUUUGUUAUAAAAAAAAACAACAUAACAGUUUGUCUUCUUAUUUGAUACAAAUUAAAAGGAAAAAUAAAGUUGACAAGUGAAUAAAAUAGCGCUACCUUUCGGUGCACUCAAU
Molecule: long non-coding RNA, 668 nt
Filed under: Brassica rapa (field mustard)
Lineage: Eukaryota; Viridiplantae; Streptophyta; Magnoliopsida; Brassicales; Brassicaceae
Description: long non-coding RNA (BRAP_LNC007310)
Source: RNAcentral